Molecule: non-coding RNA, 535 nt
Organism: Oryctolagus cuniculus (rabbit)
Lineage: Eukaryota; Metazoa; Chordata; Mammalia; Lagomorpha; Leporidae
Source: RefSeq, a predicted model, not a curated record
CUGGAAAACAGCCAAGGUCCCUCUGAAGAAAAAAUACUUUAGGAAGCAUAUUCUGGUCUGCAUGGUCUCCAUGGGAGCAUCUUGGCUGGGGACUGCGAUGUGAUGGUCUCUGUGGUGAGACUGCAGUCAGUGUCAGCUGUGGCUGAUGUCUUCUGAAUGCCAGACUGAGGCUGGAGGAGCCACCUUCAGGUGGAACACCCUCAUGGAUGGCAGAAAUUAUGGAACAGCUGGUUACAUGACAAUUUGCAAUAUUGGCAUCUUAUAUAAAGAGCCAAUUCAAGAACAAUGUUGCUCUGAUUCUGACCUAUGUUCCUGUUUAUGAACCUGGGAAGGCAGAUGAAGCUGGCUCAAGAGAUGACCUGCAUGGAAUUACUGGGUCCUGGCAUUGGCCUAUACUGGACCUGGAUUUUGGCCAUCUGAGGAGUGAAGCAAUACAUAAAACUGCUCUUUUUCUCUACCUCCCUCUCCCUAUAUCAUUUGGUCACUCCUUCCCUCUGCUCCACCUUUCAAAGAAAAAUUAAUAACUAUUUUUUCA